UGUGAUUAAUUCGUUCAAGCUUUGUGUUCUUGAUUUUUCAUAAAAUUACGAAGUCUGCCUGUGUGAUUUGAGUGAAAUUUGUUGGUUGGGACAGGUUUACUUAGUCCUGCAACUUAGUUCUGCAUUAUGGAAGGUUUACUUAGUCCUGCAAAUUCGUCAAGUCUGAAUAUACAAGGUGGCUUACAUGUGAGUUCUUGCCCUGUUCAUGAUGGAACUAUGUAUCUCCAUUAACUGCGUGGGCUGCACUUAUCUGAAGUUUGUAUCUACCUCUUUGCUCACGAUUUGUUCGAUCAAAUUUUGUAUAAAUACCUAGAUUGUAUGAAUGAAUUUAUGUGAUUUUCCCUGGAAUUUAUGAAUACAUUUUUUGCAGAAUUGGACUGAUAUAAAUUAUUUGAAUUUGGAUUACUGAUUCUUUCUCAAAUAUUUCAGUCCCUGCAGCAACAUCAGUGUUAUUUGACAGAAUUGCAUCAGCCCUGAAGGGUUUGGAAACAUCGAUCCCUGCCAUUAUAAACAGAACAUGUUGCGUUCUCGCUGCAUAGUAUUAGAAGGACUCAUGUAUGAAGUAUCUAUUUUAAAGAAAUUAAACCUAUCUUUGGAAUUUUGAUUCCCAGGUCUGAAUUCAGAUCUAUAUAUUUUUAUCUUCUUGUAAUGGUUUGCCUCCUGCAAUCAUUUGUUUGCCUUUAUCUGCAUCCGCAUGAAGAUUAAAAAUGGAAGAGAAAUCAAUGAACUAUAUUGUUCCGCCGUACAUAGGCCGGAAAGAUUUGAUGUAUGUAUAGCGUAUUUUUAAGGCAUGGCCAUCUCAGCAAUAAUCAGUACAUUAUAGGAUUGUCACCAAAGAUGUGAAAUCAAGGUCAUGUAGAUAGUCAUGCUUAGCAGAUUGUUUAUAUUCGGAAGGAAAGAAGACAGAAACAGUAACAGACCAUGUAUUUUUAUCAGCGAAUUCAGCUUAGUUAGCUUUGCUUGAUAUUGGUUUGCAAAAUCUAACUCUCUUAACUCCUCUUUUAAGUGAGGGUUUGCUCUGCUCUAUAAUUUUCUUCCAUUUUCCAAUACAAAUUGUGUUUAAAUGAUACGUGGCAUUGCGAAUUAUGACCAACUAGCUACGGUUUAGUAUGGUAUGGUUUUGUUCUGGCUCAUUUCAUUGACUGUGGUUGGUUGUUAUCAUUUUAUACCCACAUUUUCAAACCUUAGAGAAAGGGAUGGCAACAAAGCUUCAUAUUUCAGCUACUGAUAUCAUAGUGUGCAUGUUAUGGGCACAACUAAGUCUUCUUGCAUGUUGCAGUAAUGUACAGUUGGACGUUAAGCUAAUUUUCUUUUUUGCAGGUUAAGCUAAUAGCUUCAUAGAUGAAAUUUUGUCUAUCUUGUUGUAUAAAUUAUAGCAUCGUGUAGGCCGAUAGCUGAAAUUUAGUCUACCUUGCACUAUAAUUUUUGGCAUAGUGCAAUUCAUCUUGCUGCAUAAAUUAUCUUCACUAUAAAUUCUGGCAUAGUACAGUCCAUCUUGCUGUAUAAAUUUUGGUACAGUGCAGACAAGGCAUGAGAAAAUGGCUUGCCGAGCCAACACCGGCAACACUGCACCAUGAGGAUGGUCGGUGGGCACCAUCAAACAAAUCUCAAUAGUGUUAUCUUGCAUUCGUACGAGCAUCGGUCCGGCCUUUUUAAAUACGAACAACAAAUCGCUGCAUUUUACGAGCCUUUUUCUGGUUUAUUCUUAUUGCUUGAGAAUUUUAAGGAGCAUUGUGGGUUUCUCUGCCCAUAAGGAGGAAACUACAUUUUGUAUGUGAUGCAUGUUUGGCUGAAAUCCCCCCUUCUACCUUUUGCAGAGCUCUCACAAAUCAAGUAAGUUACGAAGUGGCCUGAAUGUCUAGAUUCUAGCUUGCUUUGAAUUUAUGAAUUAUCGCUGCUAUAUUGUUAUCUCGGGAUAGUGAAACAGUCGAGUUGUACUACUUGCAGGGGAUUUCUGCAUACAGUUCAUCCAUUCAGUAAAGGCAUAUGCAGAAAUAUCUAUCACUUUGACUUCACCACGAAAUUAAUUUGUUCUGGAAGCCGUAGGUACCCUUACUCGAGGAGCUGGAAGCCAGAGAAGCUCUGUACCAAUUUUAGUGCUGGUGUUAUUGAUCUGUGUGUUGCUGUGCCAUUCUUCAGCCCUAGCAUGUGUUGUCAUCCAUUGUUCAAACUUUUUCUUCCACUGGAAGCAUGUCUUUCAUGAACUGCACCAAUAAAUGUACAUUGAAUUUAUCAAUGUCUAUAUGUAGUUUAUCCUUUCUCCUUGACGCGCUUAGAAUUUACGUAAAUAUUUACGCGCUCAGAAUUUUUAAAACUGAAACACCGAUUAUGCGGGGGGAGGGGGACAAUGGCCCCCUUAGCCCUUGCCUUAGUCAACUUCCCCAUGCUCCAUUGUUUUGCCAACAAUGAUACUAUCUCUAAUGUUUGCUUUAUUGCAGGCUAAACGUCCUUCUGCUAUCGAUUCCUUUCACAAAAUCACAACCAACUGGCAGGGCAAGACGAUAGCUUCUUGGACUACGACGGAACACUGUCGCCAAUAGUAGAUAAUCCUGACGAGGCAUACAUGUCCAACGAGGUAAGUAUAACGAAAAGAAAAAUUCUUGCAUGUUCCUUGAUAUUUGUAGAUCUUUCUUAUCCCUGGAACAUAUAAUCAGAUGCAUGAACUUGUUCAAGAAAUUGCCUCCUUGUGCCCCACUUCAGUCGUCAGUGGAAGGGCCUGCGAUAAGGUAUUACGUAUCUAGUAGCCUUUUAAUUUGGAUGUUCUAUACAUUUGUAAUUAGUGACUCACUUGUUUUGCUAUUCAUCUGUUGACAGAAAAUUUCAAAAUGAUCGAAAACCUGCACUAUGCAGGGAGCCACGGAGCAGAAAUCAAACUCCUAAGCCAUUAUUAAAUUUAGAAAUGUCUAUAUGUAGUUUAUCCUUUCUCUUUGACAUGCUCAGAAUUUAUGUGAAUAUUUAACCUGCAGAGUGAUGAAACAGAAACCCACGAGCCUACCAACGAGUACGUACCUGUUAUAAAUCAGAUAUAGAAUAUAACGAAUUAUAAUAAUCCACAUAUCUAUCUUUUUAACAACUAUUUUGCUGCUUCCUACUAUUCUGUCCAUAAGUAAAACUCAGUUCUGCCUAGCCCUUGCCUUAGUCAAUUCUUCCCCAUGCUCAAUUCUUUUGCAAAAAAACUACCUGCAAACCACAUGUUGCGGUUUGCAAAGAAGCCCUUCUUAAUUGUCUAUCCUCAAAUAAUUAAAAAAAUUAGGCGAGGUUUUGUGCGGUUUGCAAAGAAGCCCUUAAGGUGAGAUGAACUUAUGUUUCAAAUAAUUACAAAAAAAUGUAGUUACACAGGUUCUCGAAGACAUAUGCUGGAAGGAAAUGUUGUGUGAGAAGCGACGUAUUCCAAGAGCCAUCGACAUUCAGGAGAUCUGCCAUCCAUUUUAGUCUGCAUCGACGUUUUUGUGUGAUCGGCCUAAAGGAGGGUUCCCUUGGGAUCCAAGGAUCAUUGCCAUAUGUGUAUGUUUUCUUCAGUGCCAACAUGCCAGACGCACCCCUGCUUAGCUAGCUCUAACCCAUAUUCAAUGGUUGCACAUGUCGACGAACCAUUCCCUGUGAAGAUUGUGUCAAUAAUGGAUCCAGACAGAUAGUACUUGGCUCAUAGGACCCGUGGACAUAGGCUCUCCAAAACUAUGUGCAAGCAAGGCCUUGAUUGAACAACCUCAAAUUUUUGCACAAGCUCCUACAAAUUUUGCAUCCAGCUCAUGUAUGUACUCGCUCAAGUCCUUUUUACUCAACGUAUAAGAUUUGUCUUAAGUUAAACUCCGUAAAGUUUGACCAUGUUUGUGUAAAAAAAUACCAACAUCUAUAAUACUAAAAUUCUAAAGUUAUACAUUAUGAAAAUUAAAUUCAUGGCGCAUCUAACUAUAUUGGUUUCAUAUUAGAAUGUUGUUAUCUUUUCAAUAAAGUUGGUCAAACUUUACUAAAUUUGAUUUUAGAUGAAACUUAUAUGCGGAGUAAAAUGGACCGGAGGGAGUAUAUAUACUCCAAUAAAUUUCCAUCGGCUCAUAAUAUUUGAAACUAUCAGCUGAGCAUGACGGGAGCAUGUAUCACAUAUAUUUGAGACCAAUGAUGCUGUGAUUACCUCAUGCCCAAAUAUUUUUUGCCUAGAAUUCAUGUACUUUUAACAGGAAAAGUUCGCCGAAGUUGGUCAAUCUCUCUUAAUCAAUCCUUUAAAAAAUUGGUAUAUAACCCUGCACUUCGAUCAUAACAACCUCUUGCAUCCGUACUUCGCAUAGCAUGAUCCACUUGAAGCAAGAAGAAAAAUCCUAAACGCAUAUAAAAAAAAGAAAAAAACCUACUCCUUCCGUCUCAUAAUGUAAGACGUUUUUUGACACUAGUGUAGUGUCAAAAUAUAUCUUACAUUAUAGGACACAGGGAGUAAUUCUAAAUAUACUACACCUAGCUAGGUUUGAUUUAUCUGGAUUUGACUUUUUUCUAUCAGUGGAAAACAGACCAAUGGGAAGGCGACACGUUAUUUACUGGGGAUCUGUUGGGAUAUGUUUUGGAGUGCCUUUAGCGAUUUGGUAGAGCUGCAGUUGCUGGAUUGGUUUCGCCCAUCUCUCUUAAUCCUUUACACGUGCGGACGAUGCGUCUUCAUCUUUGGAAGACUUUCGUGAAAUCCCGUUGGUUCCUAUUUCAUACCUCUCAAUUCUUGCCGCGUGUCCAUCCCGAAGACUCUCGUGGGAUCAUGACCACCACCGCUUGCCGUUGUUCCACCGCCGUAUGGGCUAAUAAAAAGGCUACCCUCCCUCGCCAUCCGCCUCGCCCACUCUCGAGCUGUGGUCUUCCAAAGUCGGGCGGCGCACCAGCCGCUCUCCUUGAUCUCGCCGGUUGCGGUGCCUCGCCGAUGUGCAGGGCCAAGGACGUGCCGAUGCAUCGAGAUGCCCCUCGCCCAGCCUACUGGCGCUCCGUCGACGCACCUGGCUCCUCCUCGACGCCUCAAGCCGUCCCGCGCCGCAUGUGUCUAGGUCUCGUGCCCGUCCAGGCCACCAGCAUGCUGCCGUCCCACGCUCUACCGGAGCCCUCUGCCCGUCGUCAUCGUGGCAAGCUGCCGCCUCUACUAGGAUAGCGCAGAAGCCGACGCGAGGAGGCGCCCCAUCUCCCCGUUGCUCUGCCUUCGUGUCAAGGCGAUGGAGAUGUGCGAGAGCUGAGAGGGAUGGGAGGAGGAGCGGCCACGGUGAAGUGGCCGAAGGAGGUGCUGGCAUGGCGGCGGCGUGGGGAGCGAUUGGAGGCGCGCGGGCCUCACCGCUGCCUCCUGAGGUGAGCCUCGCCGUCACUUUCUCUUGGUGCGAUGCUGCAUGUACAAUAGCCGGCGAGGUCUGUAUCUUGCGUCAAGAGUAGCGCUUGGGGAUCUUCAGGAGGUCCAUCGACAGCAAUACACAGCUGCAGGAAUGACAACAGGUGGACUAGCUCAACGUGAGGGUGACCAUGGGCAAGGGGUGCUGUGGCUGCUCGAGGUCUGGUGGUCAUGACAGGGGGCGAUGUGACUGUCAAGGUCUGGUUCGUUUUUGACGCCGCAGAGGUCGUCCGUGUCACUCCGAUCGGCUAACCGGCUGAUCCCACGGCCACGGGUGAGGCGAAAUCUCCCUAUUAUACCUGCAAAUCUUUUGCGUCCUCUAUUCACUGAUUAGUAUGCGGCGAGCUGAUUGUGAUGGUCAUACUUGGGUGCAGAGUGCAGGCUCCUACUUCAGGCUUCGAUCUAGAAACAAUUUCCCUGGGUGAAUGUAGGGAUGUACUAUGUAGUGUGAUUAAUUCGUUCAAGCUUUGUGUUCUUGAUUUUUCAUAAAAUUACGAAGUCUGCCUGUGUGAUUUGAGUGAAAUUUGUUGGUUGGGACAGGUUUACUUAGGCCUGCAACUUAGUUCUGCAUUAUGGAAGGUUUACUUAGUCCUGCAAAUUCGUCAAGUCUGAAUAUACAAGGUGGCUUACAUGUGAGUUCUUGCCCUGUUCAUGAUGGAACUAUGUAUCUCCAUUAACUGCGUGGGCUGCACUUAUUUGAAGUUUGUAUCUACCUCUUUGCUCACGAUUUGUUCGAUCAAAUUUUGUAUAAAUACCUAGAUUGUAUGAAUGAAUUUAUGUGAUUCUCCCUGGAAUUUAUGAAUACAUUUUUUGCAGAAUUGGACUGAUAUAAAUUAUUUGAAUUUGGAUUACUGAUUCUUUCUCAAAUAUUUCAGUCCCUGCAGCAACAGCAGUGUUAUUUGACAGAAUUGCAUCAGCCCUGAAGGGUUUGGAAACAUCGAUUCCUGCCAUUAUAAACAAAACAAUGUUGCGUUCUCGCUGCAUAGUAUUAGAAGGACUCAUGUAUGAAGUAUCUAUUUUAAAGAAAUUAAACCUAUCUUUGGAAUUUUGAUUCCCGGGUCUGAAUUCAGAUCUAUAUAUUUUUAUCUUUUUGUAAUGGUUUGCCUCCUGCAAUCAUUUGUUUGCCUUCAUCUGCAUCCGCAUGAAGAUUAAAAAUGGAAGAGAAAUCAAUGAACUAUAUUGUUCCGCCGUACAUAGACCGGAAAGAUUUGAUGUAUGUAUAGCGUAUUUUUAAGGCAUGGCCAUCUCAGCAAUAAUCAG
Molecule: long non-coding RNA, 6604 nt
Filed under: Triticum aestivum (bread wheat)
Lineage: Eukaryota; Viridiplantae; Streptophyta; Magnoliopsida; Poales; Poaceae
Description: long non-coding RNA (TAES_LNC026790)
Source: RNAcentral